AGCUCCCCACUCACCCCUGCACCAUCCUCGCUGUCACAGUGCCUGAUGCCCCAAAACUGGAAGUGUGCCUGCCAUUGCCUUUCCCUGCCUGGUUUCCAGCAGUCCCAUCACAUGGCUCCAAAAAACAGCAUCGGGGUUUUUUUCUAGAACCCAAAUUUAUAAACAAGGGGCAAUGUCCUCUGACAAGGAAAUGGACCUUGGCAAACGUGUGUCAGGAGAGGAUGACUUGGAGGUGUCCACCGUGUUUCUUACUGAAGAUGUCUAAAAGUCAAUUGGGGUCAAGGAACAAGCCUCUACUCACAUGCAUGUGGGCAAAUGAAGUCACAGAACAAAUAACCUACCCUGCAUCCAGGCACGGAGUCCAGGGACACCCCCUGCUGCUGCCUAAGAGAAAGUGGCCCAAGAAGCACUGGCCCGGUGCCUGCUGAUGCCAGGAGCCCUCUGCUACUGCCUGACACAAGCAUCCUGCGCUUCCCCCUCCCAGGCCCUCCCCGAAAGCGUGGGCCACAGGUACCACUCCCUAUGCCACUGAGCCCCACAUUUCCCAUCCCCCAAGCCACUCCCACCAGCCCCAGAGCUUUCCUACAUUUAUGAUUUGUCCAAAAAUGUGAUGCCCUUCAGCCCCCAGAAGGUCAUCCUCCAGGCUGUGAUCGUCACACAGGGGGUCCCACAUGGGGUCCUCACAGGCCUUCAACCCAGCACAAAUCGUGGCCUGGUUUGACCUUUGAAAUAUCUCAACAUCUAAAAUUCAGAGCUUUUUUGGAAUAUUUAUUUUCCAUAGAUAUAAUUCUUUCAAAUAAAUUCCUUAGAAAACAA
RNAcentral lists this long non-coding RNA (816 nucleotides) under Homo sapiens (human). RNAcentral's name for it is "HSALNT0311528". The record is from RNAcentral. Lineage: Eukaryota; Metazoa; Chordata; Mammalia; Primates; Hominidae.